This 471-nucleotide ribosomal RNA is filed under the name uncultured Cellulomonas sp. RNAcentral's name for it is "bacterial SSU rRNA". It matches the Rfam family "Bacterial small subunit ribosomal RNA", at positions 916 to 1381 of the family's 1533-position model. The record is from RNAcentral. Lineage: Bacteria; Bacillati; Actinomycetota; Actinomycetes; Micrococcales; Cellulomonadaceae.
GACGGGGCCCGCACAAGCGGCGGAGCAUGCGGAUUAAUUCGAUGCAACGCGAAGAACCUUACCAAGGCUUGACAUACACCGGUAACGCCCAGAGAUGGGUGCCCCCUUUGGUGGUCGGUGGACAGGUGGUGCAUGGUGUCGUCAGCUCGUGUCGUGAGAUGUUGGGUUAAGUCCCGCAACGAGCGCAACCCUCGUCCUAUGUUGCCAGCGGGUCAUGCCGGGGACUCAUGGGAGACUGCCGGGGUCAACUCGGAGGAAGGUGGGGGAUGACGUCAAAUCAUCAUGCCCCUUAUGUCUUGGGCUUCACGCAUGCUACAAUGGCCGGUACAAAGGGCUGCGAUACCGCGAGGUGGAGCGAAUCCCAGAAAGCCGGUCUCAGUUCGGAUUGGGGUCUGCAACUCGACCCCAUGAAGUCGGAGUCGCUAGUAAUCGCAGAUCAGCAACGCUACGGUGAAUACGUUCCCGGGCCUU